UAUGGGGGGGGCAAGCGUUGUUCGGAAUUACUGGGCGUAAAGGGCUCGUAGGUGGCCAACUAAGUCAGACGUGAAAUCCCUCGGCUUAACCGGGGAACUGCGUCUGAUACUGGAUGGCUUGAGUUUGGGAGAGGGACGCGGAAUUCCAGGUGUAGCGGUGAAAUGCGUAGAUAUCUGGAGGAACACCGGUGGCGAAGGCGGCGUCCUGGACCAACACUGACACUGAGGAGCGAAAGCCAGGGGAGCAAACGGG
RNAcentral lists this ribosomal RNA (253 nucleotides) under uncultured bacterium. RNAcentral's name for it is "partial 16S ribosomal RNA". It matches the Rfam family "Bacterial small subunit ribosomal RNA", at positions 524 to 776 of the family's 1533-position model. The record is from RNAcentral.